GACGAACGCUGGCGGCGUGCCUAAUACAUGCAAGUCGAACGAGAGCGACCGGUGCUUGCACUGGUCAAUCUAGUGGCGGACGGGUGAGUAACACGUGGGUAACCUGCCCAUCAGAGGGGGAUAACAUUCGGAAACGGAUGCUAAAACCGCAUAGGUCUUCGAACCGCAUGGUUCGAAGAGGAAAAGAGGCGCAAGCUUCUGCUGAUGGAUGGACCCGCGGUGCAUUAGCUAGUUGGUGAGGUAACGGCUCACCAAGGCCGUGAUGCAUAGCCGACCUGAGAGGGUGAUCGGCCACAUUGGAACUGAGACACGGUCCAGACUCCUACGGGAGGCAGCAGUAGGGAAUCUUCCGCAAUGGGCGAAAGUCUGACGGAGCAACGCCGCGUGAGUGAAGAAGGUUUUCGGAUCGUAAAACUCUGUUGUUAGGGAAGAAUAAGUGCUAGAGUAACUGUUAGCGCCUUGACGGUACCUAAACAGAAAGCCACGGCUAACUACGUG
Molecule: ribosomal RNA, 498 nt
Filed under: uncultured bacterium
Lineage: Bacteria
Description: partial 16S ribosomal RNA
Rfam family: Bacterial small subunit ribosomal RNA
Source: RNAcentral